Molecule: non-coding RNA, 78 nt
Organism: Schistosoma rodhaini
Lineage: Eukaryota; Metazoa; Platyhelminthes; Trematoda; Strigeidida; Schistosomatidae
Source: Rfam
AGCUUUUUCAAUCCGUGUAGAGAUUUCGUCAGACACCAACUCAUUACGGUUGAUCAGACUUCCAAGAUAAGUGAAGUU